RNAcentral lists this ribosomal RNA (332 nucleotides) under Atta sp. CS0319. Its description in RNAcentral is "partial 12S ribosomal RNA". Lineage: Eukaryota; Metazoa; Arthropoda; Insecta; Hymenoptera; Formicidae. The record is from RNAcentral.
UUGUAAGAUAAAAUUAGAUAAUUAAAAAAUAAAUGGAAUCAUAAAAUUUAAAUAAUUUGGCGGUAUUUUAAAAAGUUAGAGGAAUUUGUUCUAUAAAUGAUAAUCCACGAUAGGAGGGUCUUAAUAAAAGUCUUAUGUAUUGUUGUUUAAAAAUUAUUUUAAAAGAAUUAUAAUUAUUAAAUUUAAUAAAGUUUGAAUUCAAAUCAAAAUGUAGAGUUGUUAAGUAAGAAUGAGUUACAUUUUAGUAGAAAAAGAGUAUUUUAAAAAUUUUAAGUAUUUUGAGUAUGGAUUUAAUAGUAAAUUUAAUAAAUUUAUUAGGUUGAAAGUUAAAU